RNAcentral lists this ribosomal RNA (651 nucleotides) under uncultured archaeon. Its description in RNAcentral is "bacterial SSU rRNA". It matches the Rfam family "Archaeal small subunit ribosomal RNA", at positions 508 to 1160 of the family's 1478-position model. The record is from RNAcentral.
GCCUAAAGGGGCCGUAGCCGGUCUGGUAAAUCCAUGGGUAAAUCGGGCAGCUUAACUGUCCGAAGUCCGUGGAGACUGCCAGACUUGGGAUCGGGAGAGGCGGAAGGAACUCCCGGGGUAGGGGUAAAAUCCUGUAAUCCUGGGGGGACCACCGGUGGCGAAGGCGUUCCGCUAGAACGAAUCCGACGGUGAGGGACGAAGCCCUGGGGCGCAAACGGGAUUAGAUACCCCGGUAGUCCAGGGUGUAAACGCUGCAGACUUGGUGUUGGGUGUCCCACGAGGAUACCCAGUGCCGGAGAGAAGUUGUUAAGUCUGCCGCUUGGGGAGUACAGUCGCAAGACCGAAACUUAAAGGAAUUGGCGGGGGAGCACCGCAACGGGAGUAGCGUACGGUUUAAUUGGAUUCAACGCCGAAAAACUCACCAGGGGCGACGGACGUAUGAAGGUCAGGCUGACGACCUUACCUGAUUGUCCGAGAGGUGGUGCAUGGCCGUCGUCAGUUCGUACCGUAGGGCGUUCUGUUAAGUCAGAUAACGAACGAGACCCUCGCCCUUAAUUGCCACCCCUUUCUCCGGAAAGGGAGCACAUUAAGGGGACCGCUGACGCUAAGCCAGAGGAAGGUGAGGUCUACGGUAGGUCCGCAUGCCCCUAA